RNAcentral lists this ribosomal RNA (451 nucleotides) under uncultured bacterium. Its description in RNAcentral is "partial 16S ribosomal RNA". It matches the Rfam family "Bacterial small subunit ribosomal RNA", at positions 29 to 523 of the family's 1533-position model. The record is from RNAcentral.
AACGAACGCUGGCGGCAGGCUUAACACAUGCAAGUCGAACGGAUGUAGCAAUACAUUAGUGGCAGACGGGUGAGGAACACGUGGGAAUAUCCCCUUCAGUUCGGAAUAACUCAGGGAAACUUGAGCUAAUACCGGAUACGUCCGCGAGGAGAAAGAUUCAUCGCUGAAGGAUUAGCCCGCGUCUGAUUAGCUAGUUGGUGAGGUAAUGGCUCACCAAGGCGACGAUCAGUAGCUGGUCUGAGAGGAUGAUCAGCCACAUUGGGACUGAGACACGGACCAAACUCCUCCGGGAGGAAGCAGUGGGGAAUAUUGGACAAUGGGCGCAAGCCUGAUCCAGCCAUGCCGCGUGAGUGAUGAAGGCCUUCGGGUUGUAAAGCUCUUUUGUCCGGGAAGAUAAUGACUGUACCGGAAGAAUAAGCCCCGGCUAACUUCGUGCCAGCAGCCGCCGUAA